GUUAUCCGGAAUUAUUGGGCGUAAAGGGUGAGUAGGUGGUGUUGUUAGUCGAGUGUCAAAAUCCCAGGCUUAACUUGGGAACCGCAUUCGAAACGGCAAUACUUGAGGGUAGGAGGGGUGUACAGAACUCAUGGUGUAGGGGUGAAAUCCGUUGAUAUCAUGGGGAAUACCAAAAGCGAAGGCAGUACACUGGCCUGCAUCUGACACUGAAUCACGAAAGCGUGGGUAGCGAAAAGGAUUAGAUACCCUUGUAGUCCACGCCCUAAACGAUGAUCUCUCGCUAUUCGGAGUAUCGACCCUCUGAGUGGCUUAGCUAACGCGUUAAGAGAUCCGCCUGGGAAGUACGGCCGCAAGGCUAAAACUCAAAGGAAUAGACGGGGACUUGCACAAGCAGUGGAUUAUGUGGUUUAAUUCGAUGGUAAACGAAGAACCUUACCAGGGUUAGAAAUCCUAUUGAAAUCCUUUAGAAACAUUGGACCUCGCAAGACAAUAGGACAGGUGAUGCAUGGCCGUCGUCAGUUCGUGGUUUGAAUUGUACCCUUAAGUGGGCUAACGAACGCAACCCUCGUUGUGUGUUACAAGUGUCACACGAGACCGCCCCCACCUAAGCGCACGAAGUGCGCUAGUAGAAAGUGUAAAGUUAUAAAGUUCUUAAAGUAAAUGCAUUUGUAUUUUACUUUCUACUUUUAACUUUUUACUUUAUAACUAGCCUAAAUUCGCUUCGCGAAUUUAGGUGGGGGAGGAAGGAGAGGAUGACGCCAGGUCAGCAUGUCCCUCUGAUACCCUGGGCUACACACAUAAUACAAUGGCCGUUACAACGCGCAGCGACGAGGCGACUCUGAGCUAAUCGUUUAAAAGCGGCCCCAGUUCGGAUUGGAGUCUGCAACUUGACUCCAUGAAGUUGGAAUUGCUAGUAAUCGCGGGUCAGCUAUACCGCGGUGAAUACGUUCUCAAGUCUUGUACUCACAAUAAAAGCGCGCAGCAGCGCAUAUAUCUAAGUG
RNAcentral lists this ribosomal RNA (1001 nucleotides) under bacterium. Its description in RNAcentral is "bacterial SSU rRNA". It matches the Rfam family "Bacterial small subunit ribosomal RNA", at positions 540 to 1533 of the family's 1533-position model. The record is from RNAcentral.